UACAGAGGUCUCAAGCGUUGUUCGGAUUUACUGGGCGUAAAGGGUGCGUAGGCGGUCGGGUAAGUCUGGUGUGAAAUCUUCGAGCUUAACUCGGAAACUGCAUUGGAUACUAUUCGGCUAGAGAGUUGGAGGGGGGAUUGGAAUACUUGGUGUAGCAGUGAAAUGCGUAGAUAUCAAGUGGAACACCAGUGGCGAAGGCGAAUCCCUGGACAACUUCUGACGCUGAGGCACGAAAGCUAGGGGAGCAAACAGG
RNAcentral lists this ribosomal RNA (253 nucleotides) under uncultured bacterium. RNAcentral's name for it is "partial 16S ribosomal RNA". It matches the Rfam family "Bacterial small subunit ribosomal RNA", at positions 524 to 776 of the family's 1533-position model. The record is from RNAcentral.